UUAAGCGACUAAGCGUACACGGUGGAUGCCCUGGCAGUCAGAGGCGAUGAAGGACGUGCUAAUCUGCGAUAAGCGUCGGUAAGGUGAUAUGAACCGUUAUAACCGGCGAUUUCCGAAUGGGGAAACCCAGUGUGWUUCGWCACACUAUCAUUAACUGAAUCCAUAGGUUAAUGAGGCGAACCGGGGGAACUGAAACAUCUAAGUACCCCGAGGAAAAGAAAUCAACCGAGAUUCCCCCAGUAGCGGCGAGCGAACGGGGAGSAGCCCAGAGCCUGAAUCAGUGUGUGUGUUAGUGGAAGCGUCUGGAAAGGCGCGCGAUACAGGGUGACAGCCCCGUACACAAAAAURCACAURYUGUGAGCUCGAUGAGUAGGGCGGGACACGUGGUAUCCUGUCUGAAUAUGGGGGGACCAUCCUCCAAGGCUAAAUACUCCUGACUGACCGAUAGUGAACCAGUACCGUGAGGGAAAGGCGAAAAGAACCCCGGCGAGGGGAGUGAAAAAGAACCUGAAACCGUGUACGUACAAGCAGUGGGAGCACGCUUAGGCGUGUGACUGCGUACCUUUUGUAUAAUGGGUCAGCGACUUAUAUUCUGUAGCAAGGUUAACCGAAUAGGGGAGCCGAAGGGAAACCGAGUCUUAACUGGGCGUUAAGUUGCAGGGUAUAGACCCGAAACCCGGUGAUCUAGCCAUGGGCAGGUUGAAGGUUGGGUAACACUAACUGGAGGACCGAACCGACUAAUGUUGAAAAAUUAGCGGAUGACUUGUGGCUGGGGGUGAAAGGCCAAUCAAACCGGGAGAUAGCUGGUUCUCCCCGAAAGCUAUUUAGGUAGCGCCUCGUGAAUUCAUCUCCGGGGGUAGAGCACUGUUUCGGCAAGGGGGUCAUCCCGACUUACCAACCCGAUGCAAACUGCGAAUACCGGAGAAUGUUAUCACGGGAGACACACGGCGGGUGCUAACGUCCGUCGUGAAGAGGGAAACAACCCAGACCGCCAGCUAAGGUCCCAAAGUCAUGGUUAAGUGGGAAACGAUGUGGGAAGGCCCAGACAGCCAGGAUGUUGGCUUAGAAGCAGCCAUCAUUUAAAGAAAGCGUAAUAGCUCACUGGUCGAGUCGGCCUGCGCGGAAGAUGUAACGGGGCUAAACCAUGCACCGAAGCUGCGGCAGCGACRCUUAUGCGUUGUUGGGUAGGGGAGCGUUCUGUAAGCCUGUGAAGGUGURCUGUGAGGYAUGCUGGAGGUAUCAGAAGUGCGAAUGCUGACAUAAGUAACGAUAAAGCGGGUGAAAAGCCCGCUCGCCGGAAGACCAAGGGUUCCUGUCCAACGUUAAUCGGGGCAGGGUGAGUCGACCCCUAAGGCGAGGCCGAAAGGCGUAGUCGAUGGGAAACAGGUUAAUAUUCCUGUACUUGGUGUUACUGCGAAGGGGGGACGGAGAAGGCUAUGUUGGCCGGGCGACGGUUGUCCCGGUUUAAGCGUGUAGGCUGGUUUUCCAGGCAAAUCCGGAAAAUCAAGGCUGAGGCGUGAUGACGAGGCACUACGGUGCUGAAGCAACAAAUGCCCUGCUUCCAGGAAAAGCCUCUAAGCAUCAGGUAACAUCAAAUCGUACCCCAAACCGACACAGGUGGUCAGGUAGAGAAUACCAAGGCGCUUGAGAGAACUCGGGUGAAGGAACUAGGCAAAAUGGUGCCGUAACUUCGGGAGAAGGCACGCUGAUAYGUAGGUGAAGUCCCUCGCGGAUGGAGCUGAAAUCAGUCGAAGAUACCAGCUGGCUGCAACUGUUUAUUAAAAACACAGCACUGUGCAAACACGAAAGUGGACGUAUACGGUGUGACGCCUGCCCGGUGCCGGAAGGUUAAUUGAUGGGGUCAGCGCAAGCGAAGCUCUUGAUCGAAGCCCCGGUAAACGGCGGCCGUAACUAUAACGGUCCUAAGGUAGCGAAAUUCCUUGUCGGGUAAGUUCCGACCUGCACGAAUGGCGUAAUGAUGGCCAGGCUGUCUCCACCCGAGACUCAGUGAAAUUGAACUCGCUGUGAAGAUGCAGUGUACCCGCGGCAAGACGGAAAGACCCCGUGAACCUUUACUAUAGCUUGACACUGAACAUUGAGCCUUGAUGUGUAGGAUAGGUGGGAGGCUUUGAAGUGUGGACGCCAGUCUGCAUGGAGCCGACCUUGAAAUACCACCCUUUAAUGUUUGAUGUUCUAACGUUGACCCGUGAUCCGGGUUGCGGACAGUGUCUGGUGGGUAGUUUGACUGGGGCGGUCUCCUCCUAAAGAGUAACGGAGGAGCACGAAGGUUGGCUAAUCCUGGUCGGACAUCAGGAGGUUAGUGCAAUGGCAUAAGCCAGCUUGACUGCGAGCGUGACGGCGCGAGCAGGUGCGAAAGCAGGUCAUAGUGAUCCGGUGGUUCUGAAUGGAAGGGCCAUCGCUCAACGGAUAAAAGGUACUCCGGGGAUAACAGGCUGAUACCGCCCAAGAGUUCAUAUCGACGGCGGUGUUUGGCACCUCGAUGUCGGCUCAUCACAUCCUGGGGCUGAAGUAGGUCCCAAGGGUAUGGCUGUUCGCCAUUUAAAGUGGUACGCGAGCUGGGUUUAGAACGUCGUGAGACAGUUCGGUCCCUAUCUGCCGUGGGCGCUGGAGAACUGAGGGGGGCUGCUCCUAGUACGAGAGGACCGGAGUGGACGCAUCACUGGUGUUCGGGUUGUCAUGCCAAUGGCACUGCCCGGUAGCUAAAUGCGGAAGAGAUAAGUGCUGAAAGCAUCUAAGCACGAAACUUGCCCCGAGAUGAGUUCUCCCUGACUCCUUGAGAGUCCUGAAGGAACGUUGAAGACGACGACGUUGAUAGGCCGGGUGUGUAAGCGCAGCGAUGCGUUGAGCUAACCGGUACUAAUGAACCGUGAGGCUUAACCUU
Molecule: ribosomal RNA, 2902 nt
Filed under: Escherichia coli
Lineage: Bacteria; Pseudomonadati; Pseudomonadota; Gammaproteobacteria; Enterobacterales; Enterobacteriaceae
Description: bacterial LSU rRNA
Source: RNAcentral